ACUGCCCGAUGGAGGGGGAUAACUACUGGAAACGGUAGCUAAUACCGCAUAACGUCGCAAGACCAAAGAGGGGGACCUUCGGGCCUCUUGCCAUCGGAUGUGCCCAGAUGGGAUUAGCUAGUAGGUGGGGUAACGGCUCACCUAGGCGACGAUCCCUAGCUGGUCUGAGAGGAUGACCAGCCACACUGGAACUGAGACACGGUCCAGACUCCUACGGGAGGCAGCAGUGGGGAAUAUUGCACAAUGGGCGCAAGCCUGAUGCAGCCAUGCCGCGUGUAUGAAGAAGGCCUUCGGGUUGUAAAGUACUUUCAGCGAGGAGGAAGGUGUUGAGGUUAAUAACCGCAGCAAUUGACGUUACUCGCAGAAGAAGCACCGGCUAACUCCGUGCCAGCAGCCGCGGUAAUACGGAGGGUGCAAGCGUUAAUCGGAAUUACUGGGCGUAAAGCGCACGCAGGCGGUCUGUCAAGUCGGAUGUGAAAUCCCCGGGCUCAACCUGGGAACUGCAUCCGAAACUGGCAGGCUAGAGUCUUGUAGAGGGGGGUAGAAUUCCAGGUGUAGCGGUGAAAUGCGUAGAGAUCUGGAG
RNAcentral lists this ribosomal RNA (583 nucleotides) under Salmonella enterica subsp. enterica serovar Schwarzengrund. RNAcentral's name for it is "bacterial SSU rRNA". It matches the Rfam family "Bacterial small subunit ribosomal RNA", at positions 125 to 703 of the family's 1533-position model. The record is from RNAcentral. Lineage: Bacteria; Pseudomonadati; Pseudomonadota; Gammaproteobacteria; Enterobacterales; Enterobacteriaceae.